Non-coding RNA from Triticum aestivum (bread wheat), 115 nucleotides. Lineage: Eukaryota; Viridiplantae; Streptophyta; Magnoliopsida; Poales; Poaceae. The record is from Rfam.
UAAAUACUCACUCCGUCCGGAAUUACUUGUCGCAUAAAUGGAUGUAUCUAGAACUAAAAAUACAUCAGAUACAUUCAUUUCUAUGACAAGUAAUUCCGGACGGAGGGAGUAUUUG